This 489-nucleotide ribosomal RNA is filed under the name uncultured bacterium. RNAcentral's name for it is "partial 16S ribosomal RNA". It matches the Rfam family "Bacterial small subunit ribosomal RNA", at positions 30 to 507 of the family's 1533-position model. The record is from RNAcentral.
AUUGAACGCUGGCGGCAGGCCUAACACAUGCAAGUCGAACGGUAACAGGAAGAAGCUUGCUUCUUUGCUGACGAGUGGCGGACGGGUGAGUAAUGUCUGGGAAACUGCCUGAUGGAGGGGGAUAACUACUGGAAACGGUAGCUAAUACCGCAUAACGUCGCAAGACCAAAGAGGGGGACCUUCGGGCCUCUUGCCAUCGGAUGUGCCCAGAUGGGAUUAGCUAGUAGGUGGGGUAACGGCUCACCUAGGCGACGAUCCCUAGCUGGUCUGAGAGGAUGACCAGCCACACUGGAACUGAGACACGGUCCAGACUCCUACGGGAGGCAGCAGUGGGGAAUAUUGCACAAUGGGCGCAAGCCUGAUGCAGCCAUGCCCGUGUAUGAAGAAGGCCUUCGGGUUGUAAAGUACUUUCAGCGGGGAGGAAGGGAGUAAAGUUAAUACCUUUGCUCAUUGACGUUACCCGCAGAAGAAGCACCGGCUAACUCCGUG